Molecule: ribosomal RNA, 497 nt
Filed under: uncultured bacterium
Lineage: Bacteria
Description: partial 16S ribosomal RNA
Rfam family: Bacterial small subunit ribosomal RNA
Source: RNAcentral
GAUGAACGCUGGCGGCGUGCCUAAUACAUGCAAGUCGAGCGAACGGACGAGAAGCUUGCUUCUCUGAUGUUAGCGGCGGACGGGUGAGUAACACGUGGAUAACCUACCUAUAAGACUGGAAUAACUUCGGGAAACCGGAGCUAAUACCGGAUAAUAUUUUGAACCGCAUGGUUCAAAAGUGAAAGACGGUCUUGCUGUCACUUAUAGAUGGAUCCGCGCUGCAUUAGCUAGUUGGUAAGGUAACGGCUUGCCAAGGCAACGAUGCAUAGCCGACCUGAGAGGGUGAUCGGCCACACUGGAACUGAGACACGGUCCAGACUCCUACGGGAGGCAGCAGUAGGGAAUCUUCCGCAAUGGGCGAAAGCCUGACGGAGCAACGCCGCGUGAGUGAUGAAGGUCUUCGGAUCGUAAAACUCUGUUAUUAGGGAAGAACAUAUGUGUAAGUAACUGUGCACAUCUUGACGGUACCUAAUCAGAAAGCCACGGCUAACUACGUG